Molecule: ribosomal RNA, 232 nt
Filed under: uncultured bacterium
Lineage: Bacteria
Description: partial 16S ribosomal RNA
Rfam family: Bacterial small subunit ribosomal RNA
Source: RNAcentral
UGGGUGACCUGCCCUACAGCUCUGGGACAAGACCUGGGAAACUGGGUCUAAUACCGAAUAUGACUACACGCUUCCUGGUGUGUGGUGGAAAGCUUUUGCGGUGUGGGAUGGGCCCGCGGCCUAUCAGCUUGUUGGUGGGGUAAUGGCCCACCAAGGUGACGACGGGUAGCCGGCCUGAGAGGGUGACCGGCCACACUGGGACUGAGAUACGGCCAGACUCCUACGGGAGGCA